AUCUCAAUACAAGAGAUAAAAAAUUUAAAUAUUUUUCCACUUGAAGAACUUAUCGGCUCAUUGAUGACAUAUGAAAUGGUGCGCAAUGCAUAUGAUGAACAUGAUGAACAAAACAACCUUCCAAAGAAUAGGAAGGAUUUGUGACAUAGAACAUUUGAAGACCACUCGAGCAUAAGCUCAAGUGAUGGUGAAUUACAUGUUUAAAAA
This 207-nucleotide long non-coding RNA is filed under the name Musa acuminata (dwarf banana). RNAcentral's name for it is "long non-coding RNA (MACU_LNC011240)". Lineage: Eukaryota; Viridiplantae; Streptophyta; Magnoliopsida; Zingiberales; Musaceae. The record is from RNAcentral.